AACGGCUGGCGGCGUGCCUAAUACAUGCAAGUCGAACGGUCUUUCUAUGGAAGCUUGCUUCCACUGAGAAGAUAGUGGCGAACGGGUGAGUAACACGUGGGUAACCUGCCCAUAAGAGGGGGAUAACAUCCGGAAACGGGUGCUAAUACCGCAUAGUUUUCUUGAUCGCAUGAUCGGGAAAGGAAAGACGGCCUUUGUGCUGUCGCUUAUGGAUGGACCCGCGGCGUAUUAGUUAGUUGGUGAGGUAACGGCUCACCAAGACGAUGAUACGUAGCCGACCUGAGAGGGUGAUCGGCCACAUUGGGACUGAGACACGGCCCAAACUCCUACGGGAGGCAGCAGUAGGGAAUCUUCCGCAAUGGACGAAAGUCUGACGGAGCAACGCCGCGUGAGUGAAGAAAAGGUUUUCGGAUCGUAAAACUCUGUUGUCAGAGAAGAACAAGUUGGAGAGUAACUGCUCCAGCCUUGACGGUAUCUGACCAGAAAGCCACGGCUAACUACGUGCCAGCAGCCGC
This 515-nucleotide ribosomal RNA is filed under the name uncultured bacterium. Its description in RNAcentral is "bacterial SSU rRNA". It matches the Rfam family "Bacterial small subunit ribosomal RNA", at positions 35 to 518 of the family's 1533-position model. The record is from RNAcentral.